GGGGAAUAUUGCACAAUGGGCGCAAGCCUGAUGCAGCGACGCCGCGUGAGGGAUGACGGCCUUCGGGUUGUAAACCUCUUUCAGCAGGGAAGAAGCGCAAGUGACGGUACCUGCAGAAGAAGCGCCGGCUAACUACGUGCCAGCAGCCGCGGUAAUACGUAGGGCGCAAGCGUUGUCCGGAAUUAUUGGGCGUAAAGAGCUCGUAGGCGGUUUGUCGCGUCUGCUGUGAAAACGCGAUGCUCAACCUCGCGCCUGCAGUGGGUACGGGCAGACUAGAGGGCGGUAGUGGAGACUGGAAUUCCUGGUGUAGCGGUGGAAUGCGCAGAUAUCAGGAGGAACACCUGAGGCGAAGGCGGGUUGCUGGGCCGACACUGACGCUGAUGCGCGAAAGCCAGGGG
This 398-nucleotide ribosomal RNA is filed under the name uncultured bacterium. Its description in RNAcentral is "bacterial SSU rRNA". It matches the Rfam family "Bacterial small subunit ribosomal RNA", at positions 356 to 766 of the family's 1533-position model. The record is from RNAcentral.